AGUGAACGCUGGCGGUAGGCCUAACACAUGCCAGUCGAACGGCAGCACAGUAAGAGCUUGCUCUUACGGGUGGCGAGUGGCGGGCGGGUGAGGAAUACAUCGGAAUCUACUUUUUCGUGGGGGAUAACGUAGGGAAACUUACGCUAAUACAGCAUACGACCUACGGGUGAAAGCAGGGGAUCUUCGGACCUUGCGCGAUUGAAUGAGCCGAUGUCGGAUUAGCUAGUUGGCGGGGUAAAGGCCCACCAAGGCGACGAUCCGUAGCUGGUCUGAGAGGAUGAUCAGCCACACUGGAACUGAGACACGGUCCAGACUCCUACGGGAGGCAGCAGUGGGGAAUAUUGGACAAUGGGCGCAAGCCUGAUCCAGCCAUACCGCGUGGGUGAAGAAGGCCUUCGGGUUGUAAAGCCCUUUUGUUGGGAAAGAAAAGCAGCAGGUUAAUACCCCGCUGUUCUGACGGUACCCAAAGAAUAAGCACCGGCUAACUUCGUG
This 492-nucleotide ribosomal RNA is filed under the name uncultured bacterium. Its description in RNAcentral is "partial 16S ribosomal RNA". It matches the Rfam family "Bacterial small subunit ribosomal RNA", at positions 29 to 507 of the family's 1533-position model. The record is from RNAcentral.